Molecule: long non-coding RNA, 1318 nt
Organism: Microplitis mediator
Lineage: Eukaryota; Metazoa; Arthropoda; Insecta; Hymenoptera; Braconidae
Exons: 3
Source: RefSeq, a predicted model, not a curated record
AACGUAAAUGCGUCGAAUUCUUGCGGUUAUUUCUGUGCAUAGCCAAUCGAAAUACUUGAUUGCGGUAUAAUAAGAGAUUGAGGGAAUAGUGGGGUCAGGAGGUUAGAUUAUGCGCGGCACUCACCCACAUUUACCCUCUCACCCUCACAACCCUCAUCCUCUUUCUCACUCUCAAUUUUUCUUUCUAUCUCUCUCUCUCUCUCUCUCAGUCACUCUUUCGUUAGCUCUUUAGGGAAUCCCUCAGAACACGCGAUGUCGUCGUUCAUGUGCAUAUAAUGAGCGUCUGUUUUCCGGGCAAAUGUACUCUCUUUGGAUUGUUACUUAUUCAAGCAUAUAAGUACUAAAAAGGAAUCCUCGUUGACAUGUAUAAUCCACGAGAGUGUGCAUUUAAAAAAUAUAAAUAAAACAAACUAGCAACAUUUAAACUCAGUGUCAUAAGUGUCAUGAAGAGUAAUAGGUGAAAAGUGUCUGCAAGAUUAACAAUUAUAAACAAAACAAAAAAAAAAAACGACAAAAGUACUAUGGAAAAUACUAUUUCAAUUGUAAGAAGUAGACUAGUUAAUUAAAAUAAUGGAUGUAAUUUAAGAAAUUAACAGCAAAUUUAAAACGUUUAAUUUUAAUCAACUAGUGUGAUAAUGAUUAUUUAUUAAUUAAAACGUGUAGACGUUCACGAGGUGUAGGCACGACCAACAAUAAUACGACUAAAACUCCUAAAAACAAAAACGAACUAUUUAUUUUAAGAAAAAGUCUUAAAGUAUUUUUAUAAAUACUUACAAGUGGAUAUGGAUUUUAAAAACAAUGUGAACAUCAAUCAACAAUGCCAAGUUUUAUUCAAGAAUGUUAGUGGAAAGAGGAUUGCAAAAUAAACUUACUGGAAGUUGGUGGUGCUUGGGGUGCACGACGUACAACUGUGUGCUCCUGAUGCGGCCCUGUAUACUCAUGCCAUGUAUAUGUGCUCCUGUACUCUGAGUGGAGCUGCUGAAAUACAAGAAAUAUAAAGAACAAAGUCAUUAUUUUUUUAUUUCAAAUUUACGUCUACGUUUUUUUUAUAAUUUACAUGCUGAGAAAUUUUCCAGCUGAAAAAUUAUUUUUACGAAUGACUUUUUACUCUUUAUUUUUAUUUUAUUUUUUUUUCUAAUGACAGUUGGUAACGUUAAUAAUUUUUUUAUCUUAAUGAUGUCAUUAAUAAUUAUUUUUGAGUUAAAAUUUUUAACUAGUAAAAAUUUGUUUAUUGAGAUGUAAUUAAUUAUUGGGGUGUGCGAAUCGAGUAGAAUGAUUUGAAUCUUCUCGUAUUAUUCAUAUUUAACUCCAACUUUGA